Molecule: long non-coding RNA, 796 nt
Organism: Antechinus flavipes (yellow-footed antechinus)
Lineage: Eukaryota; Metazoa; Chordata; Mammalia; Dasyuromorphia; Dasyuridae
Exons: 2
Source: RefSeq, a predicted model, not a curated record
UGCCAUACUAACAGGAAAGGGAGAGAGCUUGGUAACAAUAGAUACUCAUUGGGUUUCAGGAAGAAGUAAGGGAAGCAACAUCUCUGUCUCAAGAAGGAAGCACAAAGAGCCCAUAGACAUAACUCUACCAGAAGAUAAGGAGCCAGAUGGGGAAUGAGUAAUUCUUUCUAGAUGAAGUCUAGAAAGGGUCAAGGAUACAGAUCAAAAGAACAUCAAAGGGGCAGGUAUCAGUCAUUACCUCCUGUCAACAUCUGAGCCACUGUCCUACAUCUAAAAGCUCUGUAUAAAUAUAGCCAUGAGCCUUUUCCAUCAGCACUAUUGGGAGAACUUCAGUUCCUGCUUUUAUUCAGUGACUCAGAAUUUCCAGUCUGACUAGUACCAUGAAAUCUCUCUGUCUCCUCUUAGGCAUUUUCUUCUUGGCUGCAAAAGCCACAGCCAUAAAUGAAGAAGAAUAUAGAGGACUCAGUUUUCAGGAGGAAGAAAUGGAACCUGGAAGAGAGAUGAAGGAAGAAGAGGAUGGGGAAGCUGAUCAACUGAUUCUGAAUGAAGAUGGCCCUCAAGACUUCCUCUUGUCCACUCAAGGGCAAAAUAGAAAAUUAACCAUAGAACGCUGUACCUGCAGAAGAAGCUGUCCAAUAACUAAGAGGAAAGGCCUUUGCCGAGGGAAGGCAUAUUAUAUUUGCUGCUUUUAGAACAAUGAGAAACAUGGACCUAUCUGGAUUUCCUUGGGAAUCUACUUAUUGACUCUCCACUCUUCUGAAUCCUAUUCAUGCAAUUAAAAUACCAUCCUUUGAAA